AUGAACUGGAUUUUUCGGCGGCCCACCCUUCACUGGACAGUGGAUUUGUGGAGGAAGGGACCCCACGGGAGGCACACGUCUGGAAAGAAGAAAGGGACCUUAGCAGAGAUGGCGGGGGGAGCACGCAGACAUCAAGUCUUGCAACCUCCGAAACACGUGCAGGGCCCCGUUGGGGUGGGAAAGUCAAAUCGUAGAGUGCAGCCUAAAUGGUGUGAUCUUGACUUUUGGCAAUGAAUCCCCGACCUUUUGAAAAAUCUCAUUGUAUCUUGACACAACGUUCUCCAUCUGCUUAUGAAGGAGCUAUUGACAAUAUGUAAAUCACAAUUGUAUGAGUGAAGACUUUUGGGUGGCUUACAAGCUUCAGAACCCAACUUGAGCUCCAGGAAAAUAGAGGAGUUGCGCUGAUUCCCAUCAACCAAACUGAGGGAAGAAAAAAUGUCCUGCAUAGGACCAGGGAUAAAUGGAUUGAGGACUCCAGUGUCACCAGAUCCUGUUCUCCAUCUCUCAUUCCUAGUUCUUUUUCCA
Molecule: long non-coding RNA, 525 nt
Filed under: Felis catus (domestic cat)
Lineage: Eukaryota; Metazoa; Chordata; Mammalia; Carnivora; Felidae
Description: lncRNA (ENSFCAG00000045486.2)
Source: RNAcentral